Suncus etruscus (white-toothed pygmy shrew) is the source of this 107-nucleotide small nuclear RNA. NCBI's taxonomy places the organism in Eukaryota, Metazoa, Chordata, Mammalia, Eulipotyphla, Soricidae. The record is from RefSeq and is a predicted model, not a curated record.
GUGCUCGCUUUUGCAGCACAUAUACUAAAAUUGGAACGAUACAGAGAAUAUUGGUAUGGCCCCUGUGCAAGAAUGACAUGCAAAUUCUUGAAGUGUUCCAUAUUUUU